GGAAUAUUGGUCAAUGGACGCAAGUCUGAACCAGCCAUGCCGCGUGCAGGAUGACGGCUCUAUGAUUUGUAAACUGCUUUUGUACGAGGGUAAACCCCGAUACGUGUAUUGGGUUGAAAGUAUCGUUCGAAUAAGGAUCGGCUAACUCCGUGCCAGCAGCCGCGGUAAUACGGAGGAUGCGAGCGUUAUCCGGAUUUAUUGGGUUUAAAGGGUGCGUAGGCGGGCUUUUAAGUCAGCGGUAAAAAUUCGGGGCUCAACCCCGUCCGGCCGUUGAAACUGGGGGCCUUGAGUGGGCGAGAAGAAGGCGGAAUGCGUGGUGUAGCGGUGAAAUGCAUAGAUAUCACGCAGAACCCCGAUUGCGAAGGCAGCCUUCCGGCGCCCUACUGACGCUGAGGCACGAAAGUGCGGGGAUCGAACAGG
Molecule: ribosomal RNA, 420 nt
Filed under: uncultured bacterium
Lineage: Bacteria
Description: bacterial SSU rRNA
Rfam family: Bacterial small subunit ribosomal RNA
Source: RNAcentral